RNAcentral lists this ribosomal RNA (497 nucleotides) under uncultured bacterium. RNAcentral describes it as "partial 16S ribosomal RNA". It matches the Rfam family "Bacterial small subunit ribosomal RNA", at positions 28 to 507 of the family's 1533-position model. The record is from RNAcentral.
GACGAACGCUGGCUGCGUGCCUAAUACAUUCAAGUUGAGCGAUGAAGCUUGGUGCUUGCACCAAUUUGAAGAGCAGCGAACGGGUGAGUAACGCGUGGGGAAUCUCCCUUUGAGCAUGGGACAGCUUAUAGAAACGAAUGCUAAUACCGCAUAACAACUCUAAACAUAAGUUUUAAGAUGGAAAUGUGCAAUUGCAUCACUCAAAGAUGAUCCCGCGUUGUAUUAGCUAGCUGGUGAGGUACAGGCUCACCAAGGCGUGCAUAGAUAGCCGACCUGAGAGGGUGACCGGCCAGAGUGGGACUGAGACACGACCCACAUCCCUCCGGCAGGCAGCAGAAGGGAAUCUUGGGGAAUGGACGAAAGACUGGCCGAGCAACGGCGGGGGGGUGAAGAACGUUUUAGCAUCGUAAAACCCUGUUGGUAGAGAAGAGCGUUGGUGGGACUGUACAGCUAAUCAAGUGACGGUAACAACCCAGAGAGCGACAGCUCAGUACGUG